UACGAAGGGGGCUAGCGUUGCUCGGAAUCACUGGGCGUAAAGGGCGCGUAGGCGGAUCUUUAAGUCGGGGGUGAAAGCCUGUGGCUCAACCACAGAAUUGCCUUCGAUACUGAAGAUCUCGAGACCGGAAGAGGUAAGUGGAACUGCGAGUGUAGAGGUGAAAUUCGUAGAUAUUCGCAAGAACACCAGUGGCGAAGGCGGCUUACUGGUCCGGUUCUGACGCUGAGGCGCGAAAGCGUGGGGAGCAAACAGG
Molecule: ribosomal RNA, 253 nt
Filed under: uncultured bacterium
Lineage: Bacteria
Description: partial 16S ribosomal RNA
Rfam family: Bacterial small subunit ribosomal RNA
Source: RNAcentral